CCUACGGGUGGCAGCAGUGGGGGAUAUUGCACAAUGGGGGGAACCCUGAUGCAGCGACGCCGCGUGGGUGAAGGAGCGUUUCGGCGCGUAAAGCCCUAUCGGCAGGGAAGAAGAUGACGGUACCUGUUUAGAAAGCUCCGGCUAACUACGUGCCAGCAGCCGCGGUAAUACGUAGGGAGCAAGCGUUGUCCGGAAUUACUGGGCGUAAAGGGCGCGUAGGUGGGCGCUUAAGUCAGGUGGGAAAACUCCGGGCUCAACCUGGAGACUGCACUUGAAACUGGGUGUCUUGAGGGCAGGAGAGGAAAGUGGAAUUCCUAGUGUAGCGGUGAAAUGCGUAGAUAUCACGCAGAACCCCGAUUGCGAAGGCAGCAUACCGGUGCACAACUGACGCUCAGGCACGAAAGCGUGGGUAUCGAACAGGAUUAGAUACCCUUGUAGUC
This 440-nucleotide ribosomal RNA is filed under the name uncultured bacterium. Its description in RNAcentral is "partial 16S ribosomal RNA". It matches the Rfam family "Bacterial small subunit ribosomal RNA", at positions 338 to 795 of the family's 1533-position model. The record is from RNAcentral.